UACGUAGGGCGCAAGCGUUAUCCGGAAUUAUUGGGCGUAAAGAGCUCGUAGGCGGUUUGUCGCGUCUGCCGUGAAAGUCCGGGGCUCAACUCCGGAUCUGCGGUGGGUACAGGCAGACUAGAGUGAUGUAGGGGAGACUGGAAUUCCUGGUGUAGCGGUGAAAUGCGCAGAUAUCAGGAGGAACACCGAUGGCGAAGGCAGGUCUCUGGGCAUUAACUGACGCUGAGGAGCGAAAGCAUGGGGAGCGAACAGG
This 253-nucleotide ribosomal RNA is filed under the name uncultured bacterium. RNAcentral describes it as "partial 16S ribosomal RNA". It matches the Rfam family "Bacterial small subunit ribosomal RNA", at positions 524 to 776 of the family's 1533-position model. The record is from RNAcentral.